RNAcentral lists this ribosomal RNA (534 nucleotides) under uncultured Acidobacteriota bacterium. RNAcentral's name for it is "SSU rRNA". It matches the Rfam family "Bacterial small subunit ribosomal RNA", at positions 243 to 794 of the family's 1533-position model. The record is from RNAcentral. Lineage: Bacteria; Pseudomonadati; Acidobacteriota.
AGCUAGUUGGUAGGGUAAAAGCCUACCAAGGCUGUGAUCGGUAGCCGGCCUGAGAGGGCACACGGCCACACUGGCACUGAAACACGGGCCAGACUCCUACGGGAGGCAGCAGUGGGGAAUCUUGCACAAUGGGGGAAACCCUGAUGCAGCGACGCCGCGUGAGUGAUGAAGCCCUUCGGGGUGUAAAGCUCUUUCGGCAGGAACGAUAAUGACGGUACCUGCAGAAGAAGCUGCGGCUAACUACGUGCCAGCAGCCGCGGUAAUACGUAGACAGCAAGCGUUGUUCGGAAUUACUGGGCGUAAAGAGUGUGUAGGCGGUUCUCUAAGUUCCGUGUGAAAUCUCCCGGCCCAACUGGGAGGGUGCGCGGGAAACUGGAGGGCUCGAGUAUGGGAGAGGAAAGCGGAAUUCCUGGUGUAGCGGUGAAAUGCGUAGAUAUCAGGAGGAACACCUGCGGUGUAGACAGCUUUCUGGACCAUCACUGACGCUGAGACACGAAAGCGUGGGUAGCAAACAGGAUUAGAUACCCUGGUAGU